GACGAACGCUGGCGGCGUGCCCAACACAUGCAAGUUGAGCGACGAACCAGGGCUUGCCCUGGGGCAAAGCAGCGAACGGGUGAGUAACACGUGGGUAACCUACCCCGAUAACCGGGACAACCCGAGGAAACUCGGGCUAAUACCGGAUGUGCUCACUGGACUUCGGUUCAGUGCGUAAAGGAAGCUUCGGCCUCCGUAUCGGGAGGGGCCCGCGGCCCAUUAGUUUGUUGGUGAGGUAACGGCUCACCAAGACCGCGAUGGGUAGCUGGUCUGAGAGGACGAUCAGCCACACUGGGACUGAGACACGGCCCAGACUCCUACGGGAGGCAGCAGUGGGGAAUCUUGCGCAAUGCGCGAAAGCGUGACGCAGCAACGCCGCGUGGGGGAAGAAGGCCUUCGGGUUGUAAACCCCUUUCAGGAGGGACGAAGGUUCGGCGGUGAAUAGCCGUCCGGACUGACGGUACCUCCACAAGAAGCCCCGGCUAACUACGUG
This 493-nucleotide ribosomal RNA is filed under the name uncultured bacterium. RNAcentral's name for it is "partial 16S ribosomal RNA". It matches the Rfam family "Bacterial small subunit ribosomal RNA", at positions 28 to 507 of the family's 1533-position model. The record is from RNAcentral.